This 206-nucleotide unclassified non-coding RNA is filed under the name uncultured fungus. Its description in RNAcentral is "sequence contains ITS1, 5.8S rRNA gene". The record is from RNAcentral. Lineage: Eukaryota; Fungi.
UUAACUUAUUUAGCUAAUUGCUCAGACUGCAAUCUUCAGACAGCGUUCAAUGGUGUCUUCGGCGGGCGCGGGCCAGAGGGCAGAAGCCCCCCGGCGGCCGUGAGGCGGGCCCGCUGAAGCAACAAGGUACGAUAAACACGGGUGGGAGGUUGGACCCAGAGGGCCCUCACUCGGUAAUGAUCCUUCCGCAGGUUCACCUACGGAAA